Molecule: ribosomal RNA, 465 nt
Filed under: uncultured bacterium
Lineage: Bacteria
Description: partial 16S ribosomal RNA
Rfam family: Bacterial small subunit ribosomal RNA
Source: RNAcentral
GACGAACGCUGGCGGCGUGCUUAACACAUGCAAGUCGAACGGAAAGGCCCCUUUGGGGGUACUCGAGUGGCGAACGGGUGAGUAACACGUGAGUAACCUGCCCUUGACUUCGGGAUAACUUCAGGAAACUGGGGCUAAUACCGGAUAGGAAUCCUUGCUGCAUGGUGGGGGUUGGAAAGCUUCGGCGGUUUUGGAUGGACUCACGGCUUAUCAGCUUGUUGGUGGGGUAGUGGCUUACCAAGGCUUUGACAGGUAGCCGGCCUGAGAGGGCGACCGGCCACAUUGGGACUGAGAUACGGCCCAGACUCCUACGGGAGGCAGCAGUGGGGAAUAUUGCACAAUGGGCGGAAGCCUGAUGCAGCAACGCCGCGUGCGGGAUGACGGCCUUCGGGUUGUAAACCGCUUUCAGCAGGGGCGAAGCUUGUGGUGACGGUACCUGCAGAAGAAGCACCGGCUAACUACGUG